AUGCACGCUGGCGGCGUGCCUCAUCCAUGCCAGUCGCGCGAACAGACGAGGAGCUUGCUCCUCUGACGUUAGCGGCGGACGGGUGAGUAACACGUGGAUAACCUACCUAUAAGACUGGGAUAACUUCGGGAAACCGGAGCUAAUACCGGAUAAUAUAUUGAACCGCAUGGUUCAAUAGUGAAAGACGGUUUUGCUGUCACUUAUAGAUGGAUCCGCGCCGCAUUAGCUAGUUGGUAAGGUAACGGCUUACCAAGGCGACGAUGCGUAGCCGACCUGAGAGGGUGAUCGGCCACACUGGAACUGAGACACGGUCCAGACUCCUACGGGAGGCAGCAGUAGGGAAUCUUCCGCAAUGGGCGAAAGCCUGACGGAGCAACGCCGCGUGAGUGAUGAAGGUCUUCGGAUCGUAAAACUCUGUUAUUAGGGAAGAACAAAUGUGUAAGUAACUAUGCACGUCUUGACGGUACCUAAUCAGAAAGCCACGGCUAACUACGUG
Molecule: ribosomal RNA, 496 nt
Filed under: uncultured bacterium
Lineage: Bacteria
Description: partial 16S ribosomal RNA
Rfam family: Bacterial small subunit ribosomal RNA
Source: RNAcentral